This 402-nucleotide ribosomal RNA is filed under the name Verrucomicrobiota bacterium. RNAcentral's name for it is "Verrucomicrobia bacterium partial 16S ribosomal RNA". It matches the Rfam family "Bacterial small subunit ribosomal RNA", at positions 355 to 776 of the family's 1533-position model. Lineage: Bacteria; Pseudomonadati; Verrucomicrobiota. The record is from RNAcentral.
UGGGGAAUUUUGCACAAUGGGGGAAACCCUGAUGCAGCGACGCCGCGUGAUUUAGAAGGCCUUCGGGUUGUAAAAAUCUUUUUUAUGGGAUGAAAAUGACAGUACCAUAAGAAUAAGGUCCGGCUAAAUACGUGCCAGCAGCCGCGGUAAUACGUAUGGACCGAGCGUUGUCCGGAAUCAUUGGGCGUAAAGGGUACGUAGGCGGCCCAGUAAGUUAGAAGUGAAAUAAUAUAGCUCAACUAUAUAAAGCUUUUAAAACUGCUAGGCUUGAGGGAUGGAAGGGAAAGUGGAAGUCCUAGUGUAGCGGUGAAAUGCGCAGAUAUUAGGAAGAAUACCGGUGGCGAAGGCGACUUUCUGGUCAUCAUCUGACGCUGAGGUACGAAAGCGUGGGUAGCAAACAGG